CGAGUCUGACCGGGCGUAAGCUUGUAAAGUAAUAGUUUGCGACCGGAAUGAUUCUU
Molecule: microRNA precursor, 56 nt
Filed under: Panagrellus redivivus
Lineage: Eukaryota; Metazoa; Nematoda; Chromadorea; Rhabditida; Panagrolaimidae
Description: microRNA prd-mir-7949 precursor
Source: miRBase by way of RNAcentral